GAUGAACGCUGGCGGCGUGCCUAAUACAUGCAAGUCGAGCGAACGGACGAGAAGCUUGCUUCUCUGAUGUUAGCGGCGGACGGGUGAGUAACACGUGGAUAACCUACCUAUAAGACUGGGAUAACUUCGGGAAACCGGAGCUAAUACCGGAUAAUAUUUUGAACCGCAUGGUUCAAAAGUGAAAGACGGUCUUGCUGUCACUUAUAGAUGGAUCCGCGCUGCAUUAGCUAGUUGGUAAGGUAACGGCUUACCAAGGCAACGAUGCAUAGCCGACCUGAGAGGGUGAUCGGCCACCCUGGAACUGAGACACGGUCCAGACUCCUACGGGAGGCAGCAAUAGGGAAUCUUCCGCAAUGGGCGAAAGCCUGACGGAGCAACGCCGCGUGAGUGAUGAAGGUCUUCGGAUCGUAAAACUCUGUUAUUAGGGAAGAACAUAUGUGUAAGUAACUGUGCACAUCUUGACGGUACCUAAUCAGAAAGCCACGGCUAACUACGUG
RNAcentral lists this ribosomal RNA (497 nucleotides) under uncultured bacterium. Its description in RNAcentral is "partial 16S ribosomal RNA". It matches the Rfam family "Bacterial small subunit ribosomal RNA", at positions 28 to 507 of the family's 1533-position model. The record is from RNAcentral.